CCUACGGGUGGCAGCAGUGAGGAAUAUUGGUCAAUGGACGCGAGCCUGAACCAGCCAAGUAGCGUGAAGGAUGACUGCCCUAUGGGUUGUAAACUUCUUUUAUAUGGGAAUAAAAUGUCUCAUGUGUGGGAUUUUGUAUGUACCAUAUGAAUAAGGAUCGGCUAACUCCGUGCCAGCAGCCGCGGUAAUACGGAGGAUCCGAGCGUUAUCCGGAUUUAUUGGGUUUAAAGGGAGCGUAGGUGGAUUGUUAAGUCAGUUGUGAAAGUUUGCGGCUCAACCGUAAAAUUGCAGUUGAAACUGGCAGUCUUGAGUACAGUAGAGGUGGGCGGAAUUCGUGGUGUAGCGGUGAAAUGCUUAGAUAUCACGAAGAACUCCGAUUGCGAAGGCAGCUCACUGGACUGCAACUGACACUGAGGCUCGAAAGUGUGGGUAUCAAACAGGAUUAGAUACCCGGGUAGUC
RNAcentral lists this ribosomal RNA (460 nucleotides) under uncultured bacterium. Its description in RNAcentral is "partial 16S ribosomal RNA". It matches the Rfam family "Bacterial small subunit ribosomal RNA", at positions 338 to 795 of the family's 1533-position model. The record is from RNAcentral.